AUGCCAGGAGCAAGGAAGAACAAUGACAGAAGAAGAGAAGAGGGUGAAGCUCCAAAGGGAAAGAAAAUGAGCAAGCAUGUCAUACAAAUCACUUAUGGAUCUUGUGGGCUUAAGGGACACAAUAAAAGUGGUUGUAAGAAGAAUGCAGAUAGAACCCAUAAAACUAAAUCAUUUCUUGGAAAAAGAGGGAGAAAGCAAAGGGAAACAGAGCAAGCUCAGACUGAUGGAUCAAAAUCAUCAGCUCCAACUAGGUCUAAAGCUCUAAGAACUAGAGCUCCAGCAACAAGCUUUCAACCUCCUAGAACUACAACACCAAGCUCUCAACCUGGCACAUCAGCAUCUCAAGCUCCAAGAACUACAGUGCUUACUAGCUCUAAUCAUGGUGGAAGCACUAGUUCUGGGAGAGGAGCAGGCAGAGGAGCAGCCAGAGGAGCAGCCAGAGGAGCAGGGAGAGGAUCUGGGAGAGGAUCAGGCAGAUGA
This 480-nucleotide ribosomal RNA is filed under the name Triticum aestivum (bread wheat). Its description in RNAcentral is "partial small subunit ribosomal RNA". Lineage: Eukaryota; Viridiplantae; Streptophyta; Magnoliopsida; Poales; Poaceae. The record is from RNAcentral.